AACGAACGCUGGCGGCAGGCCUAACACAUGCAAGUCGAACGCCCCGCAAGGGGAGGUGGCAGACGGGUGAGUAACGCGUGGGAACGUACCCUUCGGUUCGGAAUAACCCGGGGAAACUCGGGCUAAUACCGGAUCCGUCCGCAAGGAGAAAGAUUUAUCGCCGAAGGAUCGGCCCGCGUCGGAUUAGCUAGUUGGUGGGGUAAUGGCCCACCAAGGCGACGAUCCGUAGCUGGUCUGAGAGGAUGAUCAGCCACACUGGGACUGAGACACGGCCCAGACUCCUACGGGAGGCAGCAGGUGGGGAAUAUUGGACAAUGGGCGAAAGCCUGAUCCAGCCAUGCCGCGUGAGUGAAGAA
RNAcentral lists this ribosomal RNA (356 nucleotides) under uncultured bacterium. Its description in RNAcentral is "bacterial SSU rRNA". It matches the Rfam family "Bacterial small subunit ribosomal RNA", at positions 29 to 412 of the family's 1533-position model. The record is from RNAcentral.